This 660-nucleotide ribosomal RNA is filed under the name Agrococcus sp. RNAcentral's name for it is "bacterial SSU rRNA". It matches the Rfam family "Bacterial small subunit ribosomal RNA", at positions 76 to 749 of the family's 1533-position model. Lineage: Bacteria; Bacillati; Actinomycetota; Actinomycetes; Micrococcales; Microbacteriaceae. The record is from RNAcentral.
GAGCUUGCUCCUGGGGAUUAGUGGCGAACGGGUGAGUAACACGUGAGCAAUCUGCCCUUGACUCUGGGAUAAGCGCUGGAAACGGCGUCUAAUACCGGAUACGACCCUCGGAGGCAUCUCCUGGGGGUGGAAAGAACUUCGGUCAAGGAUGAGCUCGCGGCCUAUCAGCUUGUUGGUGAGGUAAUGGCUCACCAAGGCGACGACGGGUAGCCGGCCUGAGAGGGUGACCGGCCACACUGGGACUGAGACACGGCCCAGACUCCUACGGGAGGCAGCAGUGGGGAAUAUUGCACAAUGGGCGCAAGCCUGAUGCAGCAACGCCGCGUGAGGGACGACGGCCUUCGGGUUGUAAACCUCUUUUAGCAGGGAAGAAGCGAGAGUGACGGUACCUGCAGAAAAAGCACCGGCUAACUACGUGCCAGCAGCCGCGGUAAUACGUAGGGUGCAAGCGUUGUCCGGAAUUAUUGGGCGUAAAGAGCUCGUAGGCGGUCUGUCGCGUCUGCUGUGAAAACCCGAGGCUCAACCUCGGGCUUGCAGUGGGUACGGGCAGACUAGAGUGCGGUAGGGGAGAUUGGAAUUCCUGGUGUAGCGGUGGAAUGCGCAGAUAUCAGGAGGAACACCGAUGGCGAAGGCAGAUCUCUGGGCCGUAACUGACGCUGA